RNAcentral lists this long non-coding RNA (7080 nucleotides) under Nicotiana benthamiana. Its description in RNAcentral is "long non-coding RNA (NBEN_LNC016330)". Lineage: Eukaryota; Viridiplantae; Streptophyta; Magnoliopsida; Solanales; Solanaceae. The record is from RNAcentral.
CUAAUCUAAACGCGUAAUGUUCUUCUUCUCUGAAGAACACGCGAGCCAAACCCCAAAUUAGUCCCUUCUUUGGUUCCUGGUUCUGUUUCAGAAAAUAUAUAUAAAAAAAGUUUUCAUUAUCUUCUCUGAUUUCCCUCAAAGAAUGGAGAUGGGUUGAGCUGAGAUUGAGCUGGCUGCUCGAGUUCAAGUUCGUAGUUUUUACAUCCCGAUGCACUGUAACACUGGUGUUCUUGAGCUUUCAUCAUCGAAUUCACUUUUAUUGGAUUCAAAGAAGAAUUAAUCUAAGUUCGUUCUCAACUCAGGUUCAUUUCUUCUCCAACUCUUUAUUAAUUUGUGAUUCAGUGUUUGUGCGUGUUCAUAUCUCGGCAUGGUUGGUGUGAACCCUGAAAGCUAAUGUCUGUUCUCUUACUCUAUUUCUGAGCCUUGUUUGGCUUUGGUUCAGAUUUGUUAAGAUGUUUUGGUUUGUCAUUAAAGUGCACUGCGAUGGUCGAUCCCCUGCCCUUGAUUUGCUAGUCCAUCUCUUGCAAAUUCGUUGUUAGUUGAUAGGCUCUUUCUUUACCUCGCAAGGUUUUCGAAUUAUGUAGAAAUUAGUUUUUCUGGUCCUUUGAACUAAAUAAGGUCUCUGCUAAGGCUCCAUGAGUUUGGAACUCAUUAAUCCACUGCUUGAAUUGUUUGAGUUACGUCCUGAUUUUUCUUAAUCUCAUUUUGGCCCAUCUUAGUUGAUUCAUUGUUUAAUGAAGUAAGUUGCCAACCUUUCAUGUUACGUUUUCAUUUAAACACGGAAGCUGUUGUUUUGCAAUUGAGUAGCUGAAUCCGCUCGAAGUGUCUUUACUGAUUCUCUCUGGUUCUCAAACAGAAAUGUGCCUAAGUAUUAGGAUAGUCGUGACCAUGCCCGCGCCAAGUCAGAUUUUGUGCACGCUAUUUUGAUAUUUAUGAAUUGGAUUUACAAUUGACCUUAGAUGUUUGUGUUCCUUGCUGAGUUUAUCUCUAUGUGCUGCAUUUCAUAAGCUUGAUUGGAGAAAGAAGUAGAUUAAGACAUUGUCUUAUUACAUUUCCUUUAGAAAACUGCGUUAAUUAAAUUGUGUCCAUACGAACAGCGAGUGUUAUGAAGCUUGGAGCUGAAAUAUGUAUAUUUGAGUUGCUUGACUGAAAUUCUGAUUUCUUUGGAGUUAUAAAGUACUGUAGCACAAGAGGUAUUGUACAAAUUCGUGUUGUGAUCUAUUUUGAACUUGUUAAUCAUGAUACCGGAGAGAGCAGUAUUCUUGCACUAGAUUCUGAGCGUCUGUCCAUUUGGUGAAGCUUAAGUUGAUUAAUUUCUUUGUUUGAAAGUACCUGAUGUUUCGUGCUUCAUUUCUUUGAUUGAUUGAGCGAUGCGAUUCAUUUUGAUGAGUUCAAAAGAAUUAGCUCACUGCUUUUAGUCAUAUGAACUCGCUCUAUCGGCCUAACCAAAUGUAAACAUGAAGGAGUGAACAUUAACCAAUUGAUCCUUUGUGCCGGAGUUGUUAAUUCUAUUAGAUCUGAAAGUUUAAGCUUCUGAUUGUGUUCCUGUUGUUUGUGAACUUCAAAACGUCCCGAGCAUUUGAAUUGUAAAAUCAGUUGGAGUUGUGGUUUAAACUCGCGCGAGGUUCCACCUGGGCCUAGUUUGUUGCGUGGUUUUCUGGCUGUAAAUCUCAUUAUCUCAAAUGUCCGUCUCUUUUUCUGAUUAGCAUCGGUGCUUUUGUUGUAAUGCUUCACAGUAUACGUUGUUUGCAUGUCUGUUAUAUUUAUUGAAUGCGUCUGUGUUAAUGUUUCAAGAGGAUUUUGCUCGUUUCAGUGUCCUUUUCAUUUGAAGCUUCAUUUGAAUCAUAACAUGGUGGCAUAAUAUCCCGUUCUUAUCAUUUGGAUUAAGGCGUACUUGUUAAGGUCUUGUGAUAUAUAUUAAUUAGAAAGGAAAACUGUUUCUUUUAGUUCUUCUAUGGUAAAGUUAAAAAGUGUUUGAAUAUUGAAUGAAGUUUGCAUCAUUUUAUCUCUUUCAAUUAAUGCCAAAUUAUUAAAUUAGAAUGAAAAUUAUCAUGGGUACGGGUAUGGUUCUCGUGACGUAGCCGUGAUACUUAAUCCCUAAUUAGUGAAAUAUGAAUAUUCGUAGCUCAUUUAGUUGAAUGCUUUUCCUUUAGAGUUCGAUGUGUGCCAUUUAGCAAAUUCUAUGGCCCUCGCAAAGUACAAAUGCGUUCGAUUUAAUUAAAUUACUUUCUUAAACUAGGGUGCAUUGAUGCGACCACAAUCCAAAUCUCGAUGAAGUCGAAAUGUGUCGAUGACUACGGGUGCCUUGAUGGCGACGUGGUCGAACACGUGUUUUCACGACGUCGCAAGUCCUUUAAAAUAAAUAAUGGUAAAAGCAGUUUUGUAAAUAAAAGGCACAUAAGCUAGUAUGUAUUAAAAUCGGAUAAAAUCAAAUACAAUAGUUGAGCGACCGUCCUAGAACCACGGAACCCGGGAAUGCCUAACACCUUCUCCCGGGUUAACAGAAUUCCUUAUCCGGACUUCUGGUUCGCAGACUGUAACACAGUCAUAUCUUUCCUCGGUUCGGGAUUCAACCGGUGACUUGGGACACCAUUAAUCUCCCAAGUGGCGACUCUGAAUAAUUAAUAAAUUAAAUGUUGUUCAGAUUGUCCUUUAAGUGGAAAAACUCCUUUACGCCCCUUUGCGGAGGUGUAUAGCGAAAAAGGAGGUGUGACAAUCAUGAUAUCACAAUCAUUUACUAGCUAAGAAAAUCACCAUCAUCCUCUCCUUUAUAUUCCUACAUUUUGCAUAAGGCUAUUCUCUGCCUUUCGAGGUUAAGCUCUACCUCCAUUCUGCAUAAGGCUAUCUUUUGCAUUUCGGGACUAAGCUAUGUCUCCAUCUUGCAUCUUGCAUAAGGCUAUUAUCUGCCUUCCGAGGUUAAGAUCUACCUCCAUCCUGCAUAAGGAUAUCUUCUACCCUUCGAGACUAAGCUCUGUCUCCAUCUCGCAUUUUGCAUAAGGCUAUUCUCUCCCUUCUGAGGUUAAGCUCUACCUCUAUUUUGCAUAAGGCUAUCUUCUGCCUUUCAAGACUAAGCUAUGUCUCCAUCUCGCAUUUUGCAUAAGGAUGUUAUCUAGCUUCCGAGGUUAAGCUCUACCUCCAUCCUGCAUAAGCCUAUUUUCUGCCUUCCGAGGUUAAGCUCUACCUCCAUCCUGCAUAAGGCUAACUUCUGCCUUCCGAGACUAAGCUCUGUCUCCAUCCUGCAUUGCAUAAGGCUAUUCUCUGUCUUCAAGGUUAAGCCCUACCUCCUUUAUUUUGCAUUUGGCUGAAAUAUCGCCACCCUAUUUCAUUCGACUGAAAUAUCGCCGCCUUGCAUUUUAAAUUCCUGCUCCACUGAAAUAUCGCCACCCCUUGGAUUCAUUCGGCUGAAAUAUUGCCACCUUCGCAUGGGCUGAAAUAUCGCCACCUUAUUCAAAGGCGUCAUAGUUUGGAGGCACCAUUCGCAUAGCCCGAGAACACCAUUUCAUGGCCUGCGAAUCUUUACUUUAUGCUCUUCAUAGCCCAGUACGUCAUAGUCUGAUGACGCCAUCCUAAUCGUCCAAAGACAGCAUUCAUUGUCCAAUGGGAACUUGUAUCAUAUUUAAAUUAUGCAAUAUAUACGCACAUCGUUCAUUUGCAGGUACACCGGCUGGCACGACCACCUCAGCAGGAGCGGUCCCGCUCCAGUUCUCCGUAGCCCGUCCGAUAUUUGAACCCUUGACAAGUCUCAAACCCCGUUGCGUUUGCCUCUUCAAAAUUUUCAUUGGCAUAUCCCGCCAAUGGUUCCUGAACUACAUACAGCCCGAUUCCUGUAGAACCGAGGAUAUGUAGGCAGCUCAGAAGCCAGAGCACUGUCAAAAUUCUCUUACAAAUGUCAUUUCCGGUCAAAAUUGGCCAUCCUGUCUUUACCUGACAACUCUUUCAUCCUCCUCGGGUAAAGAGGGGCAGUUGUUGAUACCCAAUUUUUCCCAUGUAAUUCUAUGCUCAAAAUAUUUCCAAAAUAGCAUAUAGAUGCAUACAUAAGCAUCCACAAAAAGUUUGGUAUUUUUCUACAUUUUUUCAAGUACUUUUAAUGCCAAUUUACGAUUUAUUUUGUUCUAUAUAAUCCAAUAUUUAGUCUCAAAUCUUGCUAUUUUCAUAAGUAAUCUAUUUUAUUCUCAUAUUACAUAAAAAUAUAAUUUUUACAGAAUUUUACAAAGCCAUUAGGUAUUUUUAAAUUAAAACUGCAGUAAAUUGCAAUUUUAGCCUAUUUCUCAAUUUAAUAAGUAUUUCAAGUACAAAAUUCGUUCCUAAUUUUUUUAAUUAACUCCUAGACAUAUUUUAUUAACUCAGUACUUUCACUGGAUUUUUAUAGGAUUGUUUACUAUUUUUAUAAAAUUAAAAUUGGGAAAGAUGGCUAUUUAAAUUGUAGCCCUUAAUCUUUCAAUUUUAGCCCAAAUUGGAACCCAAAUCAAUCCCAUUUAAAACCCCAAUUGCCUGAUCCAAAUUCCAAAAUCACCCGACCCAAACCCACCUAAAUCUAACCCGCCUGCUCCCUUUUCUAAUCUUGGCCGUUGAUCUCACAGAUCAACGGCCCACAAUCCACUUACCAAAAAUUAAAUCCCAAAUAACCCCCAAGCCCUAAUCAGUCUUCCAAACCCGCCGCCUUUGAAUCCCUAAAGCUCUCAAAGCCCUCUCAAACCCUAAAUCAUCUCCGGCUAUCUAACCGGCGUCCAUGGUCGUCCAAGACUUGAAACUUCUUUAUUCGUUCACUCCUCACCUCUCCGGGCCAUGGGUUCGAAGAUCGGAAGCCCACUUCGAAGCUAAUCAGACCAGAGGUCCUCUAAUGAGGUUUCGCAGCCGUAUCUGGCCUUUUCUCCGGCAAGCCUUAAAGCCCUGGGCCCUUUGCUGACUCUGACGAGUCCAUUCCAGGCUUUUCUCACUACUUCGAAACUUUUCUAUGCAAACUCCAAUGUUCGAGGUUCAUCUCUGUGUUCAUCUUUAAGAUUCUCUCUAAAAUCCUAGUGAUUUUCUAAAGAUUUACAAAAUAUUUCUCAUCUCUUCUUCGCCUAUUCAUUUUUUCAAACUGAUCGUCUUUUAAAACCUAGGGUUUCUAUGACUUUCCAUGAUUUCUCUGAUUUUAUUACUUUAUUUGCUGUUGUGUGUUCUACUCUAUGUCUUUGCUAUGAUUUUAAAGCAUUUUUCUACCAAUUACUUUAUUUGCUGAUGUGUGUUCUUCUCUAUGUCGUUGAUAUGAUUUUUAAGCAUUUUUCUACCAUGACUCUAUGGUGUUUUGCUUUACUGUUUACUUUCUAGGGUUUUCAGUUCAUGUAUUCUACGCUUCCUUUAUGUUGUUCUGCUUUUAUUCAUCUUCAUCUGUUAUAUUCCUUAUGCUCUGAUUUGCAAUGGAAACCCUAGUUUUCAGAGGGUUUUUCCAUUGUCUCUCUGUGAAACCUUAGCCGCCUCUAGUUGCUUCCUCGUAUUUUUUGCUACAUGUUAUUCUAAUUGCUUCUAGUUUAUGCAUGUUCAAACCUGUGCAUAUUUUAUAGUACCACUUUCCCCCUUCUCUGAAACCCUAAUUGAUUUCGUACAAUUUGUUUGAUUCUCUAAUUAAGGCUUGUUCUCUGACUAAGUUCAAUACAUCGGUAUCAUGAUUCCUUGAUUUCCUGGGUGAUUACUUGCCUUAUGUCUUUUACCCGUGUGAUUUUCAAAUUCUUCUUAUGAAUUUGCCCUAUAUUCUUUGACUAGUACUCGAUUUCCUUUCCAAAAUUAGACCUGAGCUUAGUUAUUUCUACUCGGUUCCUACCCUAUAUUCGGUGACUAGUACUCGAUUUCCUUUGCAAAGUUAGACCUAUGCUUAGAUACUUCUAGCAGGUUCAUUAAUUAAAGGGAGCCUUCUCCCUGAUUGUUUAGGAUUGGUACUGCUGAAUAUUUUCUUGCCUUAAAGGUUGCAUUCUUUCAAACUAUAAAUAGGCCAAAUCUAUUUGUGUAUUUUAAUUUAAGUUAGCAUGUUUAAUCCCCUUCCCCUUUUCCUUUGUCUGUUCAGUUUAAGCUUUAACAUGUUGAAUCCCUUUCCCCAUUUCCCUUGUCUGUGUGUUUGUCUGUUCAGUUUAAGCUUUAACAUGUUUAAUCCCUUUCCCCAUUUCCUUGUCUGUGUGUAGUUCAGUUGCAACAUAUUUAGUUCUCCAUUUUUCCUUGUCUGUUUUUGUUUUAGUUUUUAGUUCAGCAUGCUCAGUCCUUUCUCUUGGCUGUUUAUUGUUCAUUAUAUAGUUUAAGUUCUUAUACACCACCUUUCCCCUGAAUCCCUUUUAAUUUAGUCUUAUAUACUUAUGUGACUCUUUUUUCCCUGAUCCUUGUUUGAAUGAGAGUGUGUUCUAUAUUAGGGUGGCAUCAUUGUCACUCCUAGUUUAGAACUAAGGUUGUCAACAACCUAUACUCAAACUAAUCACAUCCCCUACCCCCUUAUUAUGUGUUUGAGCCUUGACAAAGGUUUGUUGGUGUCCUAAUCACCAUUCAGGCCCUAGUAUGACUUGUUUACAAGUCUGCUCCUGUUUGUUAACCUUUAUAAGUGGUUAGGGGUGUGCCAGCCUCACUCCAUAGGCUAGGUAUGACCGCCUCCUACAAUGGUCUUCCUCUAAUCUAUCACCUUUACACUUAUUCUUAGUGCUUUAAGUCCUACUUCCCCCUUAGUAAGCCAUGCUUAGGGGACCCCAGAGUCUCCUCUAAACUUGAAUGCUUUUGGGCUAGUAAUUCCACGCUUGCACUACUCUAAAGAGAAAGCCUCGGAUUUGGGAGCCUGGAUUUGGUAAAGGGCGUACGUUGGACAUUAAAGUUGCUUUGCGCUUCUUCGGGCCUGUUGUAGUAUUGAUGUAUUAUUUAUUUCCUUUAAUGUUAUUUUUUUGGUCCAGAUUCUUGUAAAUAACUUGUAAUUAAAGAACUUGGGGAUCUAGUGAAAGAGAAUAUGAGAGGGUUUACCUUUAUUGCGUUAUCUCAUAUAGUUACCAUGGCUAUAGGGCUUUACUUUUUUGCAUCAUCUCAUGUAGAUAUCAUGCUUAUAGGGUUUUACUUCUUGCAUCAAUAUCAUAU